GAUGAACGCUGGCGGCGUGCUUAACACAUGCAAGUCGAACGAUGAAGCCCAGCUUGCUGGGUGGAUUAGUGGCGAACGGGUGAGUAACACGUGAGUAACCUGCCCUUUACUCUGGGAUAAGCGCUGGAAACGGCGUCUAAUACCGGAUACGAGCUUCCACCGCAUGGUGAGUUGCUGGAAAGAAUUUCGGUCAGGGAUGGACUCGCGGCCUAUCAGGUCGUUGGUGAGGUAACGGCUCACCAAGCCGACGACGGGUAGCCGGCCUGAGAGGGUGACCGGCCACACUGGGACUGAGAUACGGCCCAGACUCCUACGGGAGGCAGCAGUGGGGAAUAUUGCACAAUGGGCGGAAGCCUGAUGCAGCAACGCCGCGUGAGGGACGAAGGCCUUCGGGUCGUAAACCGCUUUUAGCAGGGAAGAAGCGAAAGUGACGGUACCUGCAGAAAAAGCACCGGCUAACUACGUG
This 466-nucleotide ribosomal RNA is filed under the name uncultured bacterium. RNAcentral describes it as "partial 16S ribosomal RNA". It matches the Rfam family "Bacterial small subunit ribosomal RNA", at positions 28 to 507 of the family's 1533-position model. The record is from RNAcentral.